RNAcentral lists this long non-coding RNA (4051 nucleotides) under Malus domestica (apple). Its description in RNAcentral is "long non-coding RNA (MDOM_LNC010275)". The record is from RNAcentral. Lineage: Eukaryota; Viridiplantae; Streptophyta; Magnoliopsida; Rosales; Rosaceae.
UGGAUGAACGGUUGAAAGUUUUCUUCAAGGGCUGUUGGGGCUUAAUCUUGAAGGUUGAGGGAAGUUUCUUCAAGGGCCUUUGGGCUUGAUCUUAAAGGUUGAUGGAUGAACGGAUCUUCAAGGCUUUUGGGCUUGAUCUUGAAGAACUGUUGAUGAACGGAUCUUUAAGGGCCUUUGGGGCUUGAUCUUGAUGAACAGUUGAUGAAUGGAUCUUUAAGGGCUUUUGGGCUUUAUCUUGAAGAACGGUUGGAUAUGUAUAUUUGUUGAUGUUGUUGAUCCAAAUGGCUGUUGGGGCUUGAUCUUAGGAUGAACGAAUGAUGAACGAUGAACAAUUUCUUCAAGGGCCGUUGGGGCUUGAUCUUGAAUUGGUGGAAGUUCCUUCAAAGGGCCGUUGGGGCUUGAUCUUAAAGGUUGGGUUGAUGAAGAACGAAGAGCUUUCUUGAUCCUUCGAGAUUUGCUUGGGAGCUUUGGAGUUUCAAAGCUUCAAGGUUUUGGUGUGAGGUGAAUUGGUUAUGACUUGGUUCCCUAAAUGAAUGCCUUGGCUUCCUAUUUAUAGAAUUCCAAAACUUGAUUUUUGGGUUUAAAUAAUCAGAUGAAAUAAAUCAUUUCUGCCAAGCGUUGACAUGUGUCAUGUUUGAUGACUUUUCUGAUGAUUCUCGAUUUUUUGUUGAGUCACAUGCUAUGUGUAAAAUUUAUGUGACACGUGAACGUUGAAAUUCUAAUUCUUGAUCAACAUUUAUUUCACCGAAAUUUUGAUGUCUACAAAUGCCCCCACUUCAAGGCGUGCCGUAUACAUGUGCUUGUCACGUGUAGGAGAUGCGUUUUGAAGUCCCUUAAUGUAGAUGUCGAUCCAAGGGCCAUCGAGGCUUGAUCUUGAAUUAGGUUGGAGAUUUCUUUAAGGGCUGUUGAGGCUUGAUCUUGAAUUGGGCUGAAGAUUUCUUCAAGGGCCCUUGAGGCUUGUUCUUAAACUUUUGUUUCAAAUUUCUUCAAGGGCAAUCGAGGCUUGUUCUUAAAGGUUGGAAUUGGACCACAAGGAGCUUCACGUGGUAGAUGAUCUUUGGCUUUAGUAGUGGAUGAAUCGGCACGUAUUUUAUUGUGCUUGUGGACUUUCCACAGCUUUGAUCUUGAACUGGGUUGGAGUAUUUUCUGGAUUCCUCCAAUUGUUGACUUUCCACAGCUUAUUCUUGAACUGGGUUGGAGGACUUUCUGGCUUCCUCCGAUUGUUGACUUUCCACAGCUUAUUCUUGAAUUAGGUUGGAGGAUCUUUUGGCUUCCUUCGAUUGUUGAUUUUCCAUAUCUUCUUUUGAACUGGGUUUGGAAUUCUGAGCGAGGAAUAUGAGAGUUCCUUGGUUUCAAAUAAAAGUCCUUAUGCUGGGUUGAUUUGAAUGUGCAGUCUGCAUUCUUCUUUGCUUGUUUCUUCUGCACGGCAGACAGGCACGACGUAGAGGUGAUGGUCCGUUUCCUUUUUCAGUCAUUCCAAGUGCCGACCAUUUGCUUUCUUUCUCCUUGUCCCUAGCUGAGGAUGAAUUAGCACAUUGUCUCCACAUGCUUCGAGGUAUCAGUUUCACUUCCUUUAUUUGUUCUUCAGGCAGAUGUGGUAGUUUUUUAGGAAGCAUAAGAUGUUGAAACAUGAGUACCUUGAAAGCAAGGCUAGGUAAGCAAUCAGGAAGGGGUUCCGGGCAAUUGGUUCCAGAUCGGAAGAUUGAUACCAAGUGCUGGCUGAUUGCUCUCUUUCUUCUUGUCCCGCAGGUGAAAACAACGACAAGAAGAAGGACAGGGAGAAAGCAUGAUAUGAGAUACUCUUGCUUUCAACCUUCAUGAUAUGAAAUACUUUUGCUUUUGAUGAGUUGUUUGCAGAGGUACCCUAAGGAAUAAUGAACACUGAGUGACUCGAGACGCUUCGUUGGGAAGGCAUUCUCAGAGAUAAAGAAAGGUUAUGUAUGUCUGCCUUGCUAUGGAGGGUGAAGGUCGACAUUUAUAGGAAUUAAUAAUUGGUACUAUUCUUUCACUCUUGUUGGCAACCGUUGGAUGAUUGAACAGUAAACUUCACGUGCUUUCUACUUCACCAAAAAUCUUCGACAAAUUGCUCGUGAUUUGCGCAAAGCUGAGUGUGUAUGUGACAGAUGCUGACACGUCUGGAAAAGCAGAUGCCUUUUCGAGAUCUGAAAUCGACGCUUAGACAAAGUGCUCGUGAUUUGCGCAAAGCUGAGUGUGCAUGUGACUGAUGCUGACACGUCUAGAAAAGCAGAUGCCUCUUCGAUUUCUGAGCUUGCCUCUUCGAGUUAUGAGCUUCGUCGAGUGUAGAGGUUGCAUGUGAUAAGUGCGGACAAAUCUGGAAAAGAGGAUGGCCCGUGGUUUCUGAGCAAGCCCAGCUUUUGAGAAAGCUAGCAUUUCUUCGAUUUUUUGAAUUGGCCUCUUCGAAUUCUGAGCUUGCCUCUUCGAUCUCUGAAAUCCCUUCGAGUGCUAAUUUUUAUAGAGCAAUACAUUUCAAAGCACACUUGAAUUUUUGCCUGUAGAAACUCCCUUCUUGCACUUGAUUUGUUCGACCUCUUCUUUCUUCAACACUUUUGAAAAUGUCUGGCCCCUUCGACCGUCGUUUUGACUUGAACCUUGGUGAAGAGGCAGCCAUGCCUUCUCAAGACAACAUAUGGAGCCCAUCCUUCAUAUCCCUAUUGGUCAUCUUACCGUUGGGGAUUCGAUAAUGAAGAAUGAUAUGACCGAUGCGGUGGUGGCCAGGAACUUUGUCACUCCCAAAGAUAACAGACUACUUUCCAAACGGUCUGAUGAGUUGGCUGUUAAGGAUUCUCUGGCUCUCAGUGUGCAGUGUGUAGGUUCUGUGUCUAAUAUGGCCCAACGUCUAUUUGCUCGAACACGUCAAGUUGAAUCAUUGGCGGCUGAAGUGAUGAGUCUUAAACAGGAGAUUAGAGGGCUCAAGCAUAAGAAUAAACAGUUGCACAGGCUCGCACAUAAUUAUGCUACAAACAUGAAGAGGAAGAUUGACCAGAUGCAGGAAUCUAAUGGUUAGAUUUUACUUGAUCAUCAGAGGUUUGUGGGUUUAUUCCAACAGCAUUUGCCUUCGUCUUCUGGGGCUGUACCGUGUAAUGAAGCUCCAAGUGAUCAACCUUCGGUGCCUCCUCCUCCUGGGGUUUUGCCUAGUACUGAGGCUUUGAAUAAUCACCCUCUAGUUCCUCUUCGAUCUGGGGCUCUGCCGACUGCUGAGACUUCUCCUGAGCAACCUUUGUGAAGGCUCCUCUUGUUUGUUUAUUUUGAUUCAUGUAUAUGUACAUAUUUGUAACUUAUUGGAAAUAUCAAUAAAUGAGCUUUAUUUCAUUUAAUGUCUAUAUAUACAUAUAUAUUUCAUAUGGUGCUGAUCCACCAUUCAUUUAUAUAUAUAUAUAUAUAUAUUUUUUUUUUUCUUUUCUUUUCUUGCACAUGGUGCCAGAUGCACCAUCAUUCUUUUAUAUUAUUAUCAUUUAUUUUUUUUCUUUACUUUCGGUGGUGCUGAUCCACCACUAUGCUUCACUAUCUCAUUUUUUAUUAUAUUUUUUGUAUAAAUUUUGAUGAUGGGCUGGGGAAUUUGCAGGGAAAGAUGAAGAUAGACGGAGAGCUACAGUCGAGGCUUCAUGACCGGCUAGUCGUUUGACGGCGGUUAUUGAAGUUCUUUGCCAUUGCUGUUUGCCACGGACGGAGAGCUACAGUCGUGGCUUUAUGACCGGCUAGUCGUUUGAAGACGGAGAGCUACAAUCUCUCUCAAAUUUGAUCCUCUGAUUCGAUCUCCAUAAGGUGUUGAUUUGUGGAUGUGUGAUUGAUCCAAGGGCUAUCGAGGCUUGAUCUUGGAUGAACGGUUGAAAGUUUUCUUCAAGGGCCGUUGCGGCUUAAUCUUGAAGGUUGUGGGAAGUUUCUUCAAGGGCCUUUGGGCUUGAUCUUAAAGGUUGAUGGAUGAACGGAUCUUCAAGGCUUUUGGGCUUGAUCUUGAAGAACUGUUGAUGAACGGAUCUUUAAGGGCCUUUGGGGCUUGAUCUUGAUGAACAGUUGAUGAAUGGAUCUUCAA